CAACGUUAAUCGGGGCAGGGUGAGUCGACCCCUAAGGCGAGGCCGAAAGGCGUAGUCGAUGGGAAACAGGUUAAUAUUCCUGUACUUGGUGUUACUGCGAAGGGGGGACGGAGAAGGCUAUGUUGGCCGGGCGACGGUUGUCCCGGUUUAAGCGUGUAGGCUGGUUUUCCAGGCAAAUCCGGAAAAUCAAGGCUGAGGCGUGAUGACGAGGCACUACGGUGCUGAAGCAACAAAUGCCCUGCUUCCAGGAAAAGCCUCUAAG
RNAcentral lists this ribosomal RNA (262 nucleotides) under Escherichia sp. S69_ASV_4. RNAcentral's name for it is "partial 23S ribosomal RNA". It matches the Rfam family "Bacterial large subunit ribosomal RNA", at positions 1360 to 1625 of the family's 2925-position model. The record is from RNAcentral. Lineage: Bacteria; Pseudomonadati; Pseudomonadota; Gammaproteobacteria; Enterobacterales; Enterobacteriaceae.